Acanthosepion pharaonis is the source of this 112-nucleotide non-coding RNA. The record is from the annotation of a GenBank genome assembly. Lineage: Eukaryota; Metazoa; Mollusca; Cephalopoda; Sepiida; Sepiidae.
UACAGCCAUAUCAUGUUGAAGCAACAGUUCCCAUAUGAUCACCAAAGUUAAGCAAUGGUGAUCCUGGUCAGUACCUAGAUUGCUGACAGCUUGGGAAUACUAGGUGUUGUAA